This 1804-nucleotide ribosomal RNA is filed under the name Salmonella enterica. Its description in RNAcentral is "partial 23S ribosomal RNA". The record is from RNAcentral. Lineage: Bacteria; Pseudomonadati; Pseudomonadota; Gammaproteobacteria; Enterobacterales; Enterobacteriaceae.
CCGGAGAAUGUUAUCACGGGAGACACACGGCGGGUGCUAACGUCCGUCGUGAAGAGGGAAACAACCCAGACCGCCAGCUAAGGUCCCAAAGUCAUGGUUAAGUGGGAAACGAUGUGGGAAGGCCCAGACAGCCAGGAUGUUGGCUUAGAAGCAGCCAUCAUUUAAAGAAAGCGUAAUAGCUCACUGGUCGAGUCGGCCUGCGCGGAAGAUGUAACGGGGCUAAACCAUGCACCGAAGCUGCGGCAGCGAACGUAUCACCCAAGACAACUUUACGGAGUUGACGAUUGACGGAGCGAAGCGACGUCAAAGCGUUCAUUAAAGUCGAGUUGGCUUAGGGAUACGUUCGUUGGGUAGGGGAGCGUUCUGUAAGCCUGUGAAGGUGUGUCGUGAGGCAUGCUGGAGGUAUCAGAAGUGCGAAUGCUGACAUAAGUAACGAUAAAGCGGGUGAAAAGCCCGCUCGCCGGAAGACCAAGGGUUCCUGUCCAACGUUAAUCGGGGCAGGGUGAGUCGACCCCUAAGGCGAGGCCGAAAGGCGUAGUCGAUGGGAAACGGGUUAAUAUUCCCGUACUUGGUGUUACUGCGAAGGGGGGACGGAGAAGGCUAUGUUGGCCGGGCGACGGUUGUCCCGGUUUAAGCGUGUAGGUGUGUGUUCCAGGUAAAUCCGGUUCACUUUAACACUGAGGCGUGACGACGAGGCACUACGGUGCUGAAGCAACAAAUGCCCUGCUUCCAGGAAAAGGUGCCGGAAGGUUAAUUGAUGGGGUCAGCGCAAGCGAAGCUCCUGAUCGAAGCCCCGGUAAACGGCGGCCGUAACUAUAACGGUCCUAAGGUAGCGAAAUUCCUUGUCGGGUAAGUUCCGACCUGCACGAAUGGCGUAAUGAUGGCCAGGCUGUCUCCACCCGAGACUCAGUGAAAUUGAACUCGCUGUGAAGAUGCAGUGUACCCGCGGCAAGACGGAAAGACCCCGUGAACCUUUACUAUAGCUUGACACUGAACAUUGAGCCUUGAUGUGUAGGAUAGGUGGGAGGCUUUGAAGUGUGGACGCCAGUCUGCAUGGAGCCGACCUUGAAAUACCACCCUUUAAUGUUUGAUGUUCUAACGUGGACCCGUWAYCCGGGUUGCGGACAGUGUCUGGUGGGUAGUUUGACUGGGGCGGUCUCCUCCUAAAGAGUAACGGAGGAGCACGAAGGUUGGCUAAUCCUGGUCGGACAUCAGGAGGUUAGUGCAAUGGCAUAAGCCAGCUUGACUGCGAGCGUGACGGCGCGAGCAGGUGCGAAAGCAGGUCAUAGUGAUCCGGUGGUUCUGAAUGGAAGGGCCAUCGCUCAACGGAUAAAAGGUACUCCGGGGAUAACAGGCUGAUACCGCCCAAGAGUUCAUAUCGACGGCGGUGUUUGGCACCUCGAUGUCGGCUCAUCACAUCCUGGGGCUGAAGUAGGUCCCAAGGGUAUGGCUGUUCGCCAUUUAAAGUGGUACGCGAGCUGGGUUUAGAACGUCGUGAGACAGUUCGGUCCCUAUCUGCCGUGGGCGCUGGAGAACUGAGGGGGGCUGCUCCUAGUACGAGAGGACCGGAGUGGACGCAUCACUGGUGUUCGGGUUGUCAUGCCAAUGGCACUGCCCGGUAGCUAAAUGCGGAAGAGAUAAGUGCUGAAAGCAUCUAAGCACGAAACUUGCCCCGAGAUGAGUUCUCCCUGAGACUUAGAGUCUCCUGAAGGAACGUUGAAGACGACGACGUUGAUAGGCCGGGUGUGUAAGCGCAGCGAUGCGUUGAGCUAACCGGUACUAAUGAACCGUGAGGCUUAACCUU